GAGUUUGAUUAUGGCUCAGGACGAACGCUGGCGGCGUGCCUAAUACAUGCAAGUCGAACGAACAGAGAUUAGAAGCUUGCUUUUGAUUGAUGUGAGUGGCGCACGGGUGAGUAACACGUGGGAAACCUACCUCUCAGCGGGGGAUAACAUUCGGAAACGAGUGCUAAGACCGCAUAGAUAGUUUAGUCGCAUGACUGAAUUAGGAAAAGAGCUGUAGCUCUACUGAGAGAUGGUCCCGCGUUGCAUUAGCUAGUUGGUAAGGUAAGGGCUUACCAAGGCGAUGAUGCAUAGCCGACCUGAGAGGGUGAUCGGCCACAUUGGGACUGAGACACGGCCCAAACUCCUACGGGAGGCAGCAGUAGGGAAUCUUCCGCAAUGGACGAAAGUCUGGCGGAGCAACGCCGCGUGUGUGAAGAAGGUUUUCGGAUCGUAAAGCACUGUUGUUAGAGAAGAAGAAGUGAGGUAGGGAAUGACCUCACCUGGACG
Molecule: ribosomal RNA, 486 nt
Filed under: Globicatella sp. canine oral taxon 218
Lineage: Bacteria; Bacillati; Bacillota; Bacilli; Lactobacillales; Aerococcaceae
Description: bacterial SSU rRNA
Rfam family: Bacterial small subunit ribosomal RNA
Source: RNAcentral